CUCUUGCCUGCCACCAUGAAAGGCAUGUCUUGCUUUCCCUUUCCUUCCACCGUGAUUGUGAGCCCUCCCCAGCCAUGUGGAACUGUGGACUUUUUCAGCUCCAUCGUAAUCUAAUGGGACCACCGUGGCACACGGGUCCGUUGUUGACCCAGCACGUCAUUUUGCAGUGCAUGACAGCACUCCAGGUUGCUGUUUCUGACCACUGCACAGCACCACCCACUGUGAUCCUUCCUGUUACUUCUCCAGCCCCUGGUGAAGAGCUGCCUCCAACUUCCUGCGCUCACCUGCAAUACUACAGAAAGCAAGCAGAGCGCCUUAUAGAUGCACCAGAGAGUCUACGUCUACAAAGAACAAGGAGCUGAGAACCUACCAUAAAAAACUUCCAUCAAAAGGAAUAUGUAUCUUGCUUCUUGGAAAGGGAAGUUUACUUUUCUGGGGCAGGGCUUAAGGAAGUGUCCCAGCAAGACACUUGCUGAUGACUGAGCUCCGGUCAACACUGCUAGGAAGUGUCUUGGGAGUGGUGGGAAAGAACAUCAGCUCGGGGUGGGGAGCGCUGAGGGAGUUGCCUAAGAGAGGACAUAGAAGGGGCAGAGUCAGCACUACAAAUACAAGAAGUUUACUUUUGGUGCAAAUGACAGUUCCUAUUUAUUGAAAGCCUGAUGUGGAACAUGUUGAGAUUAGAGCAGGUUUCUAAAGGAUACCCAUCACCACCUUCUUGUAGUCCCCACCCUGUUCCAAACCAUUUAAAAUAAGAGAGGAGUCUGGCAGGUGGAGAACAAAAUGGGAGAGACAGCAUUGGAGAGCUCAGGUGAGGUUUAAGGCAACAACAGGCUUCUGCUGACCAGAAUCAGCCUGACUUGCACCUGGUACUGGGCAGUAGUGGAAAAAUGCUGACCUUCCCAUGUAGUGUGCCUCCCCAGAAACACAUAACGUAUGGAGGAGCCGGGCAGAAUGUGUGCUUCUGGUGGCAGCUGAAUUCCAAAGGAAACGUAGAUAGGAGGCAGGUGUACCUAUGCCCAUUUCCUACUCCCAAAUUUGCCAAGGAGGUAAUUCCUCCUUGCGGAAUCCUGAGCACAGGACCAGAAAGGAGCCAGGAGUGUUACAUGCAUCGAUGUCCCUCCACAUGGAAACACACAGCAAGGGGAAAGGAGGUUCCACAUAAGAGGUACUGUCCUAGGAGUGUUAAGUGUUUUAUCUCUAAAAUACUUCAGAACAACCUGUAAAGAGGAUAUUCAGAUCUCCAUUUUAAGAUGUAGAAACUAACGAGAUCCUGUAAUUUGCAACAACAUGGAUGGAACUGGAAGUUAUUAAGGGGAUAAGUCAGGCACAGAAAGACAAACUUCACAUAUUCUCACUUGUUUGCGAGAGCUAACAAUUAUAACAUUUGAACUCAUGGAGAUAGAGACUAGAAGGGUGGCUACCAGAGGCUGAGAAGGGUAGAGGGGGAAAUGCUAGCGGGAAGUGGAGAUGGUUACUAGGUACAGAAAAAUAGCUAGAAAGCAUGAAUAAGGGCCAGACACAAUGGCUCAUGCCUGUAAUCCCAACAUUUUAGGAGGCCAAGGCAGGAGGAUUGCUUGAGCCCAGGAGUUUGAGACCACCCUGGGCAACAUAGUGAGACUUCAUCUCUACAAAAAAAAGGAAGAUAUAAUGGUGUGCACCUAUAGUCUCAGCUACUUGGGAAGCUGAGGUGGGAGGAUCAUUUGAGCCUGGAAGGCAGAAGUUACAGUGAGCUGAGUUUGUGCUGCUGCACUCCAGCCUGGGUGACAGAGCAAGACCCUGUCAACAAAGAAAGAGAGAAAGGGGGUAUGGGGAAUAGGAGGGAGGGAAGAAGGAAAGAAGCAAGAGACCUAGUAUUUGACAGCACUACAGGGUGACUAUAGUCAAUAAUAAUUUAAUUGUACAUUUAAAAAUAACUAAAAUAGUAAAAUUGGAUUGUUUGUAACACAAAGGAUAAAUGCUUGAGGGGAUGGAUACCCCAUUAACUCUGAUGGGAUUAUUGUACAUUGCAUGCCUGUAUCAAAAUAUCCAAUCUAUGUCAUAAAUAUAUAUACCUACUAUGUACCCACAAAAAUUAAAAAUUUAAAGCAAAACAAAGAUGAGGAACCUGAGAAGAGUUAAUAAGGGCACAGCAUCAUACAGCUGGCAGGUGGUGGAGCUGGGAUUUGCAUGCAUGUCUUUCUGAAUUGCUAUCUCUUGCUCUUUCUAGCAGGAUGCACUGUCCUUCCACUUUAGAAGCACGUCCACUUCCGCAUAGCCCUUCUCCUGUCUGAGAACCCUUGCUAAAAAGGCAAGCAGUUAGGUCUGGAUGUAGGUGCCAUAAACAUAGUAAAAAUAUUUAACAAAAAAAAAAACUUGAUUAAAGAAAUUCGGAAUAGGGAGUGGUUGUUCUGAUGAGAGUGAUCAGGCAGCAGAAGUGCUAUUUAAGCUGGAUUUGGAAGAAGAAAUCGUGUUCCACUGGACAGUAUGCUUUUUGCUUCUCAUUAUUCUGGUUUGGUGGGGCAUAAGAAUCAGUCCAGAGAUCCCUUGCUCUUUUCUCAGGUGUUAAUUUCAAGGUAUUGGUUUAAGUUUGGGUUCCACCAUCAAUUAGCUGGGGCAGGUUUCUUCCUCUUUCUAAGUUUUGGUGUCUUCAUCUGUAAAAGGUGAUUGUGGUAAAGACUAAAUUAGAUGGUGUCUAUGAAAGUGUUUGGCUCAUAGCCUGUUUUUUUUCC
RNAcentral lists this long non-coding RNA (2708 nucleotides) under Homo sapiens (human). RNAcentral's name for it is "HSALNT0349574". The record is from RNAcentral. Lineage: Eukaryota; Metazoa; Chordata; Mammalia; Primates; Hominidae.